RNAcentral lists this unclassified non-coding RNA (231 nucleotides) under plant metagenome. RNAcentral's name for it is "partial contains small subunit ribosomal RNA, internal transcribed spacer 1, and 5.8S ribosomal RNA". The record is from RNAcentral.
UUUCCGUAGGUGAACCCGCGGAAGGAUCAUUAAAGAGAUCAUGCCCUCACGGGUAGACCUCCCACCCCUUGUUUACAAUACCUUUGUUGCUUUGGCGGGCCCGUUUGGCCCCGCGCUGAACAACCGGCCCCGGCUGGUCAGUGCCCGCCAGAGAACCGAAAACUCUGAAUUAAAUGUCGUCUGAGUACUAUGUAAUAGUUAAAACUUUCAACAACGGAUCUCUUGGUUCUG